This 866-nucleotide ribosomal RNA is filed under the name Sutcliffiella horikoshii. RNAcentral's name for it is "bacterial SSU rRNA". It matches the Rfam family "Bacterial small subunit ribosomal RNA", at positions 28 to 874 of the family's 1533-position model. Lineage: Bacteria; Bacillati; Bacillota; Bacilli; Caryophanales; Bacillaceae. The record is from RNAcentral.
GACGAACGCUGGCGGCGUGCCUAAUACAUGCAAGUCGAGCGGACCUUUUAAAAGCUUGCUUUUGAAAGGUCAGCGGCGGACGGGUGAGUAACACGUGGGCAACCUGCCUGUAAGACUGGGAUAACUUCGGGAAACCGGAGCUAAUACCGGAUAAUAUAAGGAACCUCCUGGUUCUUUAUUGAAAGAUGGUUUCGGCUAUCACUUACAGAUGGGCCCGCGGCGCAUUAGCUAGUUGGUGAGGUAAUGGCUCACCAAGGCGACGAUGCGUAGCCGACCUGAGAGGGUGAUCGGCCACACUGGGACUGAGACACGGCCCAGACUCCUACGGGAGGCAGCAGUAGGGAAUCUUCCACAAUGGACGAAAGUCUGAUGGAGCAACGCCGCGUGAGCGAUGAAGGCCUUCGGGUCGUAAAGCUCUGUUGUUAGGGAAGAACAAGUGCGAGAGUAACUGCUCGCACCUUGACGGUACCUAACCAGAAAGCCACGGCUAACUACGUGCCAGCAGCCGCGGUAAUACGUAGGUGGCAAGCGUUGUCCGGAAUUAUUGGGCGUAAAGCGCGCGCAGGUGGUUCUUUAAGUCUGAUGUGAAAGCCCACGGCUCAACCGUGGAGGGUCAUUGGAAACUGGGGAACUUGAGUGCAGAAGAGGAAAGUGGAAUUCCAAGUGUAGCGGUGAAAUGCGUAGAGAUUUGGAGGAACACCAGUGGCGAAGGCGACUUUCUGGUCUGUAACUGACACUGAGGCGCGAAAGCGUGGGGAGCAAACAGGAUUAGAUACCCUGGUAGUCCACGCCGUAAACGAUGAGUGCUAAGUGUUAGAGGGUUUCCGCCCUUUAGUGCUGCAGCUAACGCAUUAAGCACUCCGCCU